This is a long non-coding RNA of Bombyx mori (domestic silkworm), 326 nucleotides long. RefSeq lists it as uncharacterized. Lineage: Eukaryota; Metazoa; Arthropoda; Insecta; Lepidoptera; Bombycidae. The record is from RefSeq and is a predicted model, not a curated record. The transcript is spliced from 2 exons.
CGUGACCAAUUCAUUAUUGGUAUAUGUCCGUUUGAGUGAAAAGAACGCAUCAAUUUAAUGGACUGCCCAGACAACAGUUCACUUUUCGUUGUGUGAAAAUUCAUGUUGAAAUCACGAUACAUACACGAGUGGAUGCAUUCAAACGCGGCAUAGCGUAUUAAUUAAAAAUUGUUUUUGCACGCUCAAUUAGAAGAAAUAAAGAACUUCGAGUCACGAGUUUACAAUUUUAAACGAAGAGACCGAAACGAGAGAGAAUAUAAAAAAUCAACAAAAUAUCAUAAAAUAGAGAGUUAAAAGAUCAUAAAUAUAUAAAAUGGUUUAACCAA